Equus quagga is the source of this 1233-nucleotide non-coding RNA. NCBI's taxonomy places the organism in Eukaryota, Metazoa, Chordata, Mammalia, Perissodactyla, Equidae. The record is from the annotation of a RefSeq genome assembly.
GCCUCAGACUCUCUGGAAGCACAUGGGCGCAGGGGCAGGCCCUGGUGGUCACACGCCUCCUCUCUUGCAGCCUCCACCACCGCCCCGAAGGUCUUCGCGCUGGCCCCCGGCUGUGGGACCACAUCUGACUCCACGGUGGCCCUGGGCUGCCUGGUCUCCGGAUACUUCCCCGAGCCAGUGAAGGUGUCCUGGAACUCGGGCUCCCUGACCAGUGGCGUGCACACCUUCCCUUCCGUCCUGCAGUCCUCGGGGUUCUACUCCCUCAGCAGCAUGGUGACCGUGCCUGCCAGCACCUGGACCAGCGAGACCUACAUCUGCAACGUAGUCCACCCGGCCAGCAACUUCAAGGUGGACAAGACAAUCGAGCCCAUUCGCCGCAACGACCAAAAAGUGUGCGACAUGAGCCAGUGUCCCAAAUGCCCAGCUCCUGAGCUCCUGGGAGGGCCUUCGGUCUUCAUCUUCCCCCCGAAUCCCAAGGACACCCUCGUGAUCACCCGAACACCCGAGGUCACCUGCGUGGUGGUGGACGUGAGCCAGGAGAACCCUGAUGUCAAGUUCAACUGGUACAUGGACGGGGUGGAGGUGCACACAGUCACGACGAGGCAGAAGGAGGAGCAGUUCAACAGCACUUACCGCGUGGUCAGCGUCCUCCGCAUCCAGCACCAGGACUGGCUGUCAGGAAAGGAGUUCAAGUGUAAGGUCAACAACCAAGCCCUCCCACAACCCAUCGAGAGGACCAUCACCAAGACCAAAGGGCGGUCCCGGGAGCCGCAAGUGUACGUCCUGGCCCCACACCCAGACGAGCUGUCCAAGAGCAAGGUCAGCGUGACCUGCCUGGUCAAGGACUUCUACCCACCUGAAAUCAACGUCGAGUGGCAGAGUAAUGGGCAGCCAGAGCCGGAGACCAAGUACAGCACCACCCCAGCCCAGCUGGACGGCGACGAGUCCUACUUCCUGUACAGCAAGCUCACUGUGGACAGGAACAGGUGGCAGCAGGGAACAACAUUCACGUGUGGGGUGAUGCACGAGGCUCUCCACAAUCACUACACACAGAAGAACGUCUCCAAGAACCCUGGUAAAUGAGCCAUGGGCCCGGCACCCAGCAAGCCAUCCCUCCUUCCCCGUGGGCUCUCAGAGUCCAGCGAGGACACCUGAGCCCCCACCCCUGUGUACAUACCUUCCCGGGCACCCAGCAUGAAAUAAAGCACCCAGCAUGGCCCUGGGACCCUGCGA